This 345-nucleotide unclassified non-coding RNA is filed under the name Melitaea cinxia (Glanville fritillary). RNAcentral's name for it is "misc RNA ENSMCXG00005009122.1". The record is from RNAcentral. Lineage: Eukaryota; Metazoa; Arthropoda; Insecta; Lepidoptera; Nymphalidae.
UCUCUAUCAUCAGACUGUAAUGGCACUUGUUACUCAUAUAGGUGCAAAGUUCUCAUCAAUAGAAACGAAUUAAGUUCAAAAAGCAGGUAAUUGCGAUAAAUUGUUGAAGAGUUCCCUCGACUAUCUUUCUUUUCCAUCAUCAGAUCGACUCCAGACCUUUAUUAAAUAGUAGUGCUUUAUAGUACUUAAUGAAAACAUGAUUAAAUUUACUAGUCACCCUUACGAUUUUUGCAAGUUUCCCUCGAUUUCUCUGGGAUCCCAUCAUCAGAUCCUGGUUUCCUUAUCUUGGUACCAAACUAUGAAUAUCUCCUUUCCAACAAAAAAAGAAUUAUUAAAAUUGAUUCA